Zea mays is the source of this 776-nucleotide long non-coding RNA. RefSeq lists it as uncharacterized. The transcript has 2 exons. NCBI's taxonomy places the organism in Eukaryota, Viridiplantae, Streptophyta, Magnoliopsida, Poales, Poaceae. The record is from RefSeq and is a predicted model, not a curated record.
GCCCGUUCACCCUCGUCUCCAAGGAACGUAUCCCGUUCUGGGAGCUCCCCAUGAAUUUCUGAUGAGAAAAAAGUAAUUAAAGGGUCAGAUGCAAGGAAACACUAUCGAUGUUCCUGACAACCACAGUAUGUGUGACACAUGAAGAUAUGCUUAAAAGUUGGUAAUUGAAAAUCGCCCUAUUGUUAUAGGGUGAUUGGUUUGAGGAAUGAGUUGAUUUAUCAUCUUCUUACUCUCAUUUUUUUGUUUGGUCUAUAGAAUGUAAUGAGUUAAUCCAUCACCACCUCAUUCCUUAUAGUUAGUUAGUACUAAUAUUAGGAAUAGGGUCAUCCUACCAAAUUUGAGGAAUGAACCCAUGAUACACCACCUCAUUUUAGAUAAAGUGAUUACUCAAACCAAACACCAUGUUAAUGAAUGCUGUGAUGCAGUCAAGGUUUCCCCCACACCAUGCCACUGAUCAGGCCUGAAUGCAAACUGAUUUGAGCACUGCUUGGAGGACACAUUGAAUGAAUGCAUAAUUCAUACCAAACGGUCAGUGCUGCUCACUGCGACCAAAUAAUAAGCUCCUAUUAAAUAUGCUGGUACAAGAACAGGAUGAGACCUCCGACCUGCACAAAUCUGUCCACAUUGUACCAAAAAAGAAAAGGAAAAAGGACUCCAGUAGGUGCUGGUAGGUCCUGGUUCUUUUACUGUUUUACAUAGGGAAUGAGUGAGCUUGCACCAAAGUUUGCUUCGUGUAAAAUUUUACCAAGCAACAAGGUUUUAUCUUUUAUUCGUUA